Molecule: non-coding RNA, 37 nt
Organism: Tolypothrix bouteillei VB521301
Lineage: Bacteria; Bacillati; Cyanobacteriota; Cyanophyceae; Nostocales; Tolypothrichaceae
Source: Rfam
GUGGUAAUUUAUACGAAUCCCUAUCAGGGAUUGAAAC